Diprion similis is the source of this 163-nucleotide long non-coding RNA. RefSeq lists it as uncharacterized. The transcript has 3 exons. Lineage: Eukaryota; Metazoa; Arthropoda; Insecta; Hymenoptera; Diprionidae. The record is from RefSeq and is a predicted model, not a curated record.
UAUAUGUAUCGCAGCAUCCACGUUUAGGGGCAAUUUUAAAAACCCUCGUAAAGAAAUCUAAAGAGAAUCGUGAAGUAAAAAGUGCGAGAAGCCGAUUACAGAAAGAGACUUGUCGAUUAUACUUUGUACAGCGUGUACGUUUAAAUCGAGAUAGAUAAAGAAA